Molecule: RNA transcript, 1379 nt
Organism: Girardinichthys multiradiatus
Lineage: Eukaryota; Metazoa; Chordata; Actinopteri; Cyprinodontiformes; Goodeidae
Gene name: tubulin epsilon and delta complex protein 2-like
Exons: 5
Source: RefSeq, a predicted model, not a curated record
AUACAAAGGAACUAUUCACCCGUAAAAAAGUUAAUGAACAACUAUUCAUCUAUUUUUCCUGAACAUAUAGAUGCUGAACCUAAUGUUCUUUAACAGUGGAGGGCGAAACAUGGCUUCCGCAUCCGUUAAGUGUGACUUCGCGGGUCAGGAGUAUUUUAUAUAUCAAAAUAGUAACCUGCGGUUUUGAAUGUAUAUUAUGCCUCGUAAAAGUUGUACAUUUAGUUCUGUCUUGUCGUAAGAACCAGACGUUAAACUCUAUCGAGAUUUGUGACGGUAGGAAUAUAUUUGAUCCGCACAAGAAGUAUGUCGCUGCUGUCUGCGGUUGAGGAAGCUAUUAAGACAUAUAAGGUCGAACAAGCCAAGCUUAACCGCACCAUUCAGUAUUGCAGAGAAAUCCUACAGAACCUGAAACCACAACACAAAGCAGGCUCUGAAGAAACAGAAUUAGCAGAUGAUGCUGCUGCAGAUGCAGAGUCCUCGCCAGGAGAGAAGGAAGAUAUAGAACUGCUUGAGCGGGCACUGGAAAAAGCUCUUUGGGUCCGCACCGUCUCAGAGGUCUCUAAACAAGACGUCGGCAAAAGCAAACUAUCUGCAACUUCUAAAGAAACAGAAAAUAUACCAACUCUAUCAGCAGUGACUAAAGAUGGUCAAUCAGUCAUCAAGUCAAGUAAAAAAUGUGCCAGCCUUCACAGAAGAGGGCACAAAAAGCCUGUUUUUUCUCUUAGCUCAAGGCCUUCAGCAGGCCAUAAAACAGCACAGUCCAAAAACAUAACCCAACACCAUCCCUUCUCAGCAGCUCAGGCUGGGCAUCACCAGACAUCUAGGAGAUUGCAACAGGCUCUCUUGGCAAGUUCUGCCUCUCCUGAUCAGAUCCCAGCCUCAAUCUCUAAAAACAAGACAGUCAGAAGCAAAAUGCCAAGAGGUGAUGGCCUGAGCAUAGCUGCAUCUGUCUCCAUGCCUUAUUCAAAUAACAUAGAGUCCUGUUCAGGAACAGAUGGAUCUGGGGCUGGCAGUUGGCAUCAACAGCAUGAGUAGAUGGAAAUAAUCAUGUUUUUAAUUAGCAAUUAAACAGACAUUCAUAUUUUUUCUUCACUUUGCUUUGGGGCAGGGGGCUUUCUGAACAAACUACAAAAUGGAAAUCUUUAAGGGGCAAACAGAACAGAUUGUGGGAAAAAGUUAUGAUCUUACAGAGGAAGCCUGAGCCUGGGAGGAAUCACUUCAUGCAGAGGAUGAGGGCUAUGUUUCCUAACGAUUGGCCAUGCGGUAGUCCAGAUGAGACCAGGUUUCAGCUUCACAGACUAACUGAGCAAGGGCUCAGCCUUGCACUGCGCUGCCGGACUGAAGAGAUUCUUGUCAAGCAGCCGUCAGAAAUGAAACCU